This is a long non-coding RNA of Penaeus indicus, 867 nucleotides long. RefSeq lists it as uncharacterized. The transcript is spliced from 6 exons. Lineage: Eukaryota; Metazoa; Arthropoda; Malacostraca; Decapoda; Penaeidae. The record is from RefSeq and is a predicted model, not a curated record.
AAAGAUCUAGUUAUAUAUGAUCUGAAAGAUUAAUAAAAUCAAUACUAAUCAAAAUUUGAAGAGAAAAAAAAGAAUCCUAAAACUGAAAAAAAUAGGAUCAAGAAAUUACGUCUUUAAACAAACAAACAGAAAACUGAAAAAAAAAACAAAAACAAAAAAAGAACAUAAAAGUCUUCAUCAAAAUCACACAUUUACAAAGUUGAAAAAUUUUGUCUCAGAAGAAGCUGUGGAGAAAAACAGGAUAUUUUGAACGGCCGGAGAACAAAAGAAAAUCGCUCUUUCCUCCGUCGCUUUCAUCGCUAACAAGAUCCUCAACGUUGCCCAGAGAAUUAUCAUGCUCGGCGCUCUCUGCUAAGACUGGAUCGCGAAGUGCAGCUGUCUAAUCUUCGACCACGAAAUUCAAGAGAGGAGCCGAGACGCAACACCCCCCCACCCCCCUACCCCCCAACACCCCCGCCCGAAGCCUCAGUGACGCAAUGGAAGCAGAAGCGAUGACGAAAGCGGCGCCCAGGAGAUGAAGCCCGCCCCUUCGAGUCAGCUGGGAGAUUAGCAUGAAUAGUGAACGUUCGAUAGUGAGAGUAUGAGGGGAUACAUGAGGGCGUUCGUGUUGCCUCGUUCGUCGCUGGGUGAAGAAGAGUGAGUGAGUGAGGAUUCCCCUCUCCCCCCUCCUCGUCUCCCCUUUCCCCUCCUCCUCCUCUUCCCCCUCGCCUCACUUGUCCCUGAUUCGGCGUCGGUGAGGGUCGUGGUUAGAUCCUCUCCCCCUCUUUUUCAUUCCCUCUUUUUUUCCCCAAUUAGAUCUACUCCUUUUCCUACUGUUCCCCUUCCUCUUCCUCUUCCUCUCCCCCCCUCCCCCCCGCCCAUGUGAGA